CGCCGCGUGAGUGAUGAAGGCUUUCGGGUCGUAAAACUCUGUUGUUAGGGAAGAACAAGUACAAGAGUAACUGCUUGUACCUUGACGGUACCUAACCAGAAAGCCACGGCUAACUACGUGCCAGCAGCCGCGGUAAUACGUAGGUGGCAAGCGUUAUCCGGAAUUAUUGGGCGUAAAGCGCGCGCAGGCGGUUUCUUAAGUCUGAUGUGAAAGCCCACGGCUCAACCGUGGAGGGUCAUUGGAAACUGGGGAACUUGAGUGCAGAAGAGAAAAGCGGAAUUCCACGUGUAGCGGUGAAAUGCGUAGAGAUGUGGAGGAACACCAGUGGCGAAGGCGGCUUUUUGGUCUGUAACUGACGCUGAGGCGCGAAAGCGUGGGGAGCAAACAGGAUUAGAUACCCUGGUAGUCCACGCCGUAAACGAUGAGUGCUAAGUGUUAGAGGGUUUCCGCCCUUUAGUGCUGCAGCUAACGCAUUAAGCACUCCGCCUGGGGAGUACGGUCGCAAGACUGAAACUCACGG
RNAcentral lists this ribosomal RNA (520 nucleotides) under Priestia megaterium. Its description in RNAcentral is "bacterial SSU rRNA". It matches the Rfam family "Bacterial small subunit ribosomal RNA", at positions 395 to 906 of the family's 1533-position model. Lineage: Bacteria; Bacillati; Bacillota; Bacilli; Caryophanales; Bacillaceae. The record is from RNAcentral.